GAUGAACGCUGGCGGCGUGCCUAACACAUGCAAGUCGAGCGAACAGACGAGGAGCUUGCUCCUCUGACGUUAGCGGCGGACGGGUGAGUAACACGUGGAUAACCUACCUAUAAGACUGGGAUAACUUCGGGAAACCGGAGCUAAUACCGGAUAAUAUAUUGAACCGCAUGGUUCAAUAGUGAAAGACGGUUUUGCUGUCACUUCUAGAUGGAUCCGCGCCGCAUUAGCUAGUUGGUAAGGUAACGGCUUACCAAGGCAACGAUGCGUAGCCGACCUGAGAGGGUGAUCGGCCACACUGGAACUGAGACACGGUCCAGACUCCUACGGGAGGCAGCAGUAGGGAAUCUUCCGCAAUGGGCGAAAGCCUGACGGAGCAACGCCGCGUGAGUGAUGAAGGUCUUCGGAUCGUAAAACUCUGUUAUUAGGGAAGAACAAAUGUGUAAGUAACUAUGCACGUCUUGACGGUACCUAAUCAGAAAGCCACGGCUAACUACGUG
RNAcentral lists this ribosomal RNA (497 nucleotides) under uncultured bacterium. RNAcentral describes it as "partial 16S ribosomal RNA". It matches the Rfam family "Bacterial small subunit ribosomal RNA", at positions 28 to 507 of the family's 1533-position model. The record is from RNAcentral.